Molecule: ribosomal RNA, 254 nt
Filed under: uncultured bacterium
Lineage: Bacteria
Description: partial 16S ribosomal RNA
Rfam family: Bacterial small subunit ribosomal RNA
Source: RNAcentral
UACGGGGGGAGCAAGCGUUGUUCGGAUUUACUGGGCGUAAAGGGCGCGUAGGCGGCCACCGCAAGUCGACUGUGAAAUCUCCGGGCUUAACCCGGAAAGGUCAGCCGAUACUGCGGGGCUAGAGUGCAGAAGGGGCAACUGGAAUUCUCGGUGUAGCGGUGAAAUGCGUAGAUAUCGAGAGGAACACCUGCGGCGAAGGCGGGUUGCUGGGCUGACACUGACGCUGAUGCGCGAAAGCUAGGGGAGCGAGCGGG